Molecule: ribosomal RNA, 393 nt
Filed under: uncultured bacterium
Lineage: Bacteria
Description: bacterial SSU rRNA
Rfam family: Bacterial small subunit ribosomal RNA
Source: RNAcentral
UUCCCACUAACUCAGGGGAUAGCCUUUACGAAGAAAGAUUAAUACCUGAUAGACUUUUUCAAGGCAUCUGAAAAGUUAAAGAUUUAUGGUUAUGGAUGGGGAUGCGUUCCAUUAGAUAGUUGGUGAGGUAACGGCUCACCAAGUCUUCGAUGGAUAGGGGUUCUGAGAGGAAGGUCCCCCACAUUGGUACUGAGACACGGACCAAACUCCUACGGGAGGCAGCAGUGAGGAAUAUUGGUCAAUGGGCGAGAGCCUGAACCAGACCAAGUAGCGUGAAGGAUAGAAGGUCCUAUGGAUUGUAAACUUCUUUUAUAGUAGAAUAAAGUGAGCCACGUGUGGUUUUUUGUAUGUAUACUAUGAAUAAGGAUCGGCUAACUCCGUGCCAGCAGCAGC